AUCCAGCAGACGAGUCCCAAAUAGGACGAAACACAUGUACUGUAU
Molecule: non-coding RNA, 45 nt
Filed under: Schistosoma mansoni
Lineage: Eukaryota; Metazoa; Platyhelminthes; Trematoda; Strigeidida; Schistosomatidae
Source: RNAcentral